GGGGCUCAGUGGUUAGAGCACCUGAUUUGCAUGCCGAAGGUCCCAGGUUCAAUCUCUGGCAUUUCCA
Molecule: non-coding RNA, 67 nt
Organism: Podarcis lilfordi (Lilford's wall lizard)
Lineage: Eukaryota; Metazoa; Chordata; Lepidosauria; Squamata; Lacertidae
Source: the annotation of a GenBank genome assembly